GACGAACCGUGCGAACGUUAUUCGGAAUCACUGGGCUUAAAGCGCGUGUAGGCGGGCGGGGAACGUCGGUUGCUGAAAGCCCCCGGCUCAACCGGGGAACGGGCGCCGAAACGACCCGCCUCGAGGGACGUAGGGGGACCUGGAACUUCCGGUGGAGCGGUGAAAUGCGUUGAGAUCGGAAGGAACGCCCGUGGCGAAAGCGAGGUCCUGGACGUCUUCGACGGCUGAGACGCGAAAG
This 238-nucleotide ribosomal RNA is filed under the name uncultured bacterium. RNAcentral describes it as "partial 16S ribosomal RNA". It matches the Rfam family "Bacterial small subunit ribosomal RNA", at positions 524 to 759 of the family's 1533-position model. The record is from RNAcentral.